Molecule: non-coding RNA, 3553 nt
Organism: Vigna umbellata (rice bean)
Lineage: Eukaryota; Viridiplantae; Streptophyta; Magnoliopsida; Fabales; Fabaceae
Source: RefSeq, a predicted model, not a curated record
CACUGCCAUGCUUCAAUGUGAAUAAACAGUGUGCUUGUUGUUAAUAUCAGGUUCAAUCGCCACCGUUUAUUUAUACGGUAAUUCACCGUUGGAGCAGCAUCAACACUUCACAUCACACGGGCUUCAGAAACAGCUAAUCUGAUACAACUCCAUCAGUUCACGGUCGCGCCACGUGUCCAUGUCUUAAAACCUUUAUUCUCACUCUGGGACCCAGGCACCGCACACAGCCACAUAACAACUUAAACAACCACGACCCGGCACGACGGCCAAUCAGAUCCCUCCACGGCGCAUCGGCGAAUUUUCCUCUCCGAUCACCGGCGGUUAGGGUUCCGACGGGUAUCCGUCACAUAAUUGGAACCUUACACGUCGCUGCCACAGAAUCCUCCAGCUCAGGGCCUCUUCCUCCAUUAAUGAACAGCUUUCAUUUUCACACCAUUUAAAGCUUUUUUUCGCUUUUUGUUUUUCUACUCCUUUAUACGAUGUCGUAUAUACGACGGAGAAAGGCCCCUGCGAAUCCUGUGCGGAACGAGGAAGAAAAGGAGAAGGAGAAAAAGGUCAAGGCGAGGAGUAUCAAAGGAGAAAAGAUAAGGAAAUGGUCGUGCAUGGAUGGUUGUUGUUGGUUCAUUGGAAUGAUAUGUUCAAUUUGGUGGUUCUUACUGUUUUUGUACAAUGCAAUGCCGGCAUCGUUCCCUCAGUACGUGACGGAGGCGAUUACGGGGCCGUUGCCGGAUCCUCCCGGAGUGAAACUGAGUAAGGAGGGGUUGACGGCGGAGCACCCGGUGGUUUUCGUGCCGGGUAUUGUCACCGGUGGGUUGGAACUCUGGGAGGGUCGUCAGUGUGCGGAUGGUUUGUUCAGGAAGAGGUUGUGGGGUGGCACGUUUGGUGAAUUGUAUAAAAGACCGUUAUGCUGGGUUGAACACAUGUCACUAGAUAAUGAAACAGGACUAGACCGUCCAGGCAUUAGAGUUAGGCCAGUUUCUGGACUUGUAGCAGCUGAUUAUUUUGCACCUGGUUAUUUUGUUUGGGCCGUUCUAAUUGCUAAUUUAGCUCGCAUUGGGUAUGAGGAGAAGAACAUGUAUAUGGCUGCUUACGAUUGGAGAAUUUCAUUUCAGAAUACAGAGGUAAGGGAUCGAUCUUUGAGCAGGAUAAAAAGUAAUAUAGAACUCAUGGUGGCUACAAAUGGUGGUAAGAAGGUGGUUGUUAUUCCACAUUCAAUGGGUGUUUUGUACUUUUUGCAUUUUAUGAAAUGGGUUGAGGCACCAGCACCAAUGGGUGGAGGGGGUGGAUCAGAUUGGUGUGCCAAACAUAUUAAAGCAGUGAUGAACAUUUGGGGACCUUUUCUCGGUGUUCCAAAAUCUGUUGCGGGACUUUUCUCAAUAGAAGCCAGGGAUAUUGCAGUUGCCAGGACUUUCGCACCAGGUUUUUUGGAGAAGGAUGUUUUUGGUCUUCAAACUUUACAACAUCUAAUGCGGAUGACUCGAACAUGGGAUUCAACGAUGUCAAUGAUACCCAAAGGUGGGGAUACUAUAUGGGGUAGCCUUGACUGGUCACCUGAUGUGUCCUAUAACUGCAGUGUGAAGAAACGCAAGAACAAUGAUACUCACAAUGCCUUUCAAAAUGACAAAGAGAGUCUUGGGCUUAUGAAAAAUAAUAGUUAUGGAAGACUCAUAUCGUUUGGGAAAGAUAUAGCCGAGUUACACUCCUCCAAGCUUGAGAGGUUGGAUUUUAGGGGUGCUCUCAAGGGUAGGAAUCUUGCCAACACAUCUAACUGUGAUGUGUGGACAGAGUACCAUGAUAUGGGUGUUGAAGGAAUCAAAGCUGUUACGGAUUACAAAGCUUACACAGCUGAUUCAGUUUUGGAUCUGCUUCAUUUUGUCGCCCCCAAGAUGAUGAAACGCGGAGAUGCUCAUUUUUCUUAUGGAAUUGCUGAUGACUUGGAUGAUGAAAAAUACAAACAUUAUAAAUAUUGGUCUAACCCCUUGGAAACAACAUUACCAAAUGCUCCAGAUAUGGAGAUUUACUCUAUGUAUGGAGUUGGAAUCCCUACAGAAAGAGCAUAUGUCUACAAGUUAACUCCUCAAUCUGAAUGCUACAUUCCAUUUCAGAUUGACACCUCAGCAAAUGGUGGAAACGAGUACUCAUGUCUGAGGGAUGGGGUUUACAGUUCUGAUGGUGAUGAAACUGUUCCUGUUUUAAGUGCUGGUUUCAUGUGUGCCAAAGGUUGGCGGGGAAGGACACGCUUUAAUCCGUCAGGAAUUCGUACAUUCAUAAGGGAGUAUGAUCACGCCCCUCCGGCCAAUCUUCUAGAAGGUAGGGGAACUCAGAGUGGCGCUCAUGUUGACAUAUUGGGUAACUUUGCAUUGCUUGAAGAUAUUAUACGAGUAGCUGCUGGAGCCUCUGGGGAGGACUUAGGUGGCGAUAGAGUGCACUCCGAAAUUUUCAAAUGGUCUGAAAAGAUAAUUUUGGAUCUUUAGGUUCACGUGGUAACUGGUAAGUUCACUCCCUGGCCUUGGUCUUGGCCCAAGCAUAGUGUAAAUCGUUCAAUUUUCUAGUCCCAUUCUUAAGUGAAAGGUUAGGUAACAUUCGAAUCAGCGUUUAUUUUGAUGCUUGUGAUAUUCACUCAAGAUGUUUGUGUUCUAUCUCAUCAUUUUCAUGUGGGUAGAUUAUUUGACCAAACAAUGUUUUGGAUCAAUGCUUAUAAAAUGUACCGGAGAUUGAACUGGUUAUGUAGUGGUUCAAAUGGUUGAAUUUGUAGUUGGACCACAAUUGAACUAGUUAGACAUAACUAGUUCGACUAAUUGGUUUUGUCCAGUUUUUUAAAUUAUUGCUCUCAACAUUUUAUGUUCUUCAUACGAUAAUGGAACUUGGCCAGUUUAUAGAUAUAAAAUCUCUGGCUUUAGAAUCAUAUAAAAGUGGAGUCUAUAUGUUAGUUAACUAGUAAUAUCUAUUGGUGUAAGGUUCUGUUUGAAUAAACCUCUUCAUAAACACUUACAGAAUGACAAAAUAAGAAGGUAAAAUUAGUCACAAAUUGAAGUCUACUUGUGAACUUAAUUUUCAUAUUAGCCUUCUCAUUUAACUCUUUCAAAUUUGGUAUAUUUAACCUGAUUUUAGUUGAUGGGAGAAGAUCUAUAUAUUCUGUCUUCUUAUUUCCUUCUUCUAUCAGUACUUAAGCAGAAAUUUAUCCAAACAGAAACAGUAACUACCGGGAGUGCUUUCCCCCUGAAACAGGACUUGUCUUCACUUGCAUUAGUUAUUCAUCCUCACAUCAAUACUUAGGUACUCGAUAGAAUCCUAUCUACUUCAACUAUUAUGCUUUAAGACGGGGCUGAUGUUAUGAGCUCUGGAGUUGGUAUAGCAGUGGCAGUGUGAACGGCAACUUGCUUACUGAGAUUUUAGCCAUACAAUUUUGUCAGAUUGGGAGUGUUGAGUCUGUUUACAAUCCCCAUCCCCCCAAAAAAUAGUACCAACGUCUUAUUUUAGGUCCAUGAUUCUUGCUUGACUAGAAAUUUGUUAUUCCAUUCAUUGAUUUUAUUAUUGUCAAGUAUUAGUGUUA